AAAUUGAAGAGUUUGAUCAUGGCUCAGAUUGAACGCUGGCGGCAGGCCUAACACAUGCAAGUCGAACGGUAACAGGAAGCAGCUUGCUGCUUUGCUGACGAGUGGCGGACGGGUGAGUAAUGUCUGGGAAACUGCCUGAUGGAGGGGGAUAACUACUGGAAACGGUGGCUAAUACCGCAUAACGUCGCAAGACCAAAGAGGGGGACCUUCGGGCCUCUUGCCAUCAGAUGUGCCCAGAUGGGAUUAGCUAGUUGGUGAGGUAACGGCUCACCAAGGCGACGAUCCCUAGCUGGUCUGAGAGGAUGACCAGCCACACUGGAACUGAGACACGGUCCAGACUCCUACGGGAGGCAGCAGUGGGGAAUAUUGCACAAUGGGCGCAAGCCUGAUGCAGCCAUGCCGCGUGUAUGAAGAAGGCCUUCGGGUUGUAAAGUACUUUCAGCGGGGAGGAAGGUGUUGUGGUUAAUAACCACAGCAAUUGACGUUACCCGCAGAAGAAGCACCGGCUAACUCCGUGCCAGCAGCCGCGGUAAUACGGAGGGUGCAAGCGUUAAUCGGAAUUACUGGGCGUAAAGCGCACGCAGGCGGUCUGUCAAGUCGGAUGUGAAAUCCCCGGGCUCAACCUGGGAACUGCAUUCGAAACUGGCAGGCUUGAGUCUUGUAGAGGGGGGUAGAAUUCCAGGUGUAGCGGUGAAAUGCGUAGAGAUCUGGAGGAAUACCGGUGGCGAAGGCGGCCCCCUGGACAAAGACUGACGCUCAGGUGCGAAAGCGUGGGGAGCAAACAGGAUUAGAUACCCUGGUAGUCCACGCCGUAAACGAUGUCUACUUGGAGGUUGUGCCCUUGAGGCGUGGCUUCCGGAGCUAACGCGUUAAGUAGACCGCCUGGGGAGUACGGCCGCAAGGUUAAAACUCAAAUGAAUUGACGGGGGCCCGCACAAGCGGUGGAGCAUGUGGUUUAAUUCGAUGCAACGCGAAGAACCUUACCUGGUCUUGACAUCCACAGAAGAAUCCAGAGAUGGAUUUGUGCCUUCGGGAACUGUGAGACAGGUGCUGCAUGGCUGUCGUCAGCUCGUGUUGUGAAAUGUUGGGUUAAGUCCCGCAACGAGCGCAACCCUUAUCCUUUGUUGCCAGCGGUCCGGCCGGGAACUCAAAGGAGACUGCCAGUGAUAAACUGGAGGAAGGUGGGGAUGACGUCAAGUCAUCAUGGCCCUUACGACCAGGGCUACACACGUGCUACAAUGGCGCAUACAAAGAGAAGCGACCUCGCGAGAGCAAGCGGACCUCAUAAAGUGCGUCGUAGUCCGGAUUGGAGUCUGCAACUCGACUCCAUGAAGUCGGAAUCGCUAGUAAUCGUGGAUCAGAAUGCCACGGUGAAUACGUUCCCGGGCCUUGUACACACCGCCCGUCACACCAUGGGAGUGGGUUGCAAAAGAAGUAGGUAGCUUAACCUUCGGGAGGGCGCUUACCACUUUGUGAUUCAUGACUGGGGUGAAGUCGUAACAAGGUAACCGUAGGGGAACCUGCGGUUGGAUCACCUCCUUA
This 1542-nucleotide ribosomal RNA is filed under the name Salmonella enterica subsp. enterica serovar Adelaide. RNAcentral describes it as "16S ribosomal RNA". It matches the Rfam family "Bacterial small subunit ribosomal RNA". The record is from RNAcentral. RNAcentral also lists the same sequence under 1 other name. Lineage: Bacteria; Pseudomonadati; Pseudomonadota; Gammaproteobacteria; Enterobacterales; Enterobacteriaceae.